Salvelinus namaycush (lake trout) is the source of this 1298-nucleotide long non-coding RNA. RefSeq lists it as uncharacterized. The record is from RefSeq and is a predicted model, not a curated record. NCBI's taxonomy places the organism in Eukaryota, Metazoa, Chordata, Actinopteri, Salmoniformes, Salmonidae. The transcript has 4 exons.
UAAUGUAAAAGGACUUACAAACAAUGAGAGAAGAUGGCCUCAUCAGCAGAGGAUGAUGCCAUAACCGAAGUGGUAGAUGUUGAGAUCCCUAAGCAAGCGGUACAGGAACCAACUGUGGUUGCUGUAGAUGAUGAUAUAGCUCCCAUAGAUGUGUCUGUAUCAAGCCCCUCUGACCAUACAACUGAAAAUAUGAAAAUGUAGAUGCUGAAGAGGAAAAUCAAGAUGGAGGCUUUGGAAGAGGAGAGGGACUUUCUCCGCAAAACUGUUAACCAGUUGUAUGGGCAAGGAGGUCAGACUCCCUAGGACCAAGUCCUGCCUCUUCUGUGGCCACACCUACAAAAAGAAGGGAAGCAUGUCCGCUGCUUUCCACAGCGUGGGAGUGGAUCGCAACACUGUGGUGAUGAGUGCCCCUCUGGUAGAGAUCAUGCUUGUGGUGCCGGAGUUCCUUCAUUCACAGGCAGUGUUUGACAGCUCUAAAGAGAGGCUCAACCAAUAUGCAAGGAGGAUCACCAAAAAUGUAACAGCAGAGGUGAGCUAUGCUAUAAAAUAGAAUGAGGCGUAAUGAACUGCUCCCUAUUACUUAUAAGUUCAAAUAAACACUGAUUAUGCACACUCAUUCACACACCCACACGUGCCCGCACACAUACACACACCGGGUAGAGAUAAUGUAAGAGUAAGAUAGUGUGUCCCUGCUCUAAAACAAUCAUAAAGAUGUUAGUCUGUUUUCUGAGAUGUGGUGCAAGGAACUGCUCCAUAUCCCCUAUAAACUUGAUUUUGCACACAUUUAUGUUUAAAUGUUAAGGAUACAGCAUGUUCUGGCUGUAAAUUCGAAACAAAAUAAACAAAAUAUUGUGAGUGGUUGACACUUGCUCCAGAUGUACAGUGAAGAGAGCCAUCUGUACAUGUUCCACAAAGAUAAUCACAAAAUUAAAUCAAAUUCUAAAAUCCAAAAGGAGCGAAUGAUUUUAGAAUGGCGGAGCGCCGUUCCUGAAUGCAUAUAGUGGAAACACUGCAAAAUACAUCUACAUGCCAACCCCUAACUAUAGAAUUCCCAAGUACUGUACUGGGUAUCUGCCAUAGUUGUAACAUAGUAACUACAUAGUGAUUACAUGAGUAAUUCACAAUGUGCUUCACUUUACAUUAAAUUGCUUGUUCCUGAGCAGAAACAUUGUAGUUACGAUACUUUUCUUUAUAACUUUGUAAUAAGUUACAUGUUGAUAUCCUGUGAAAUAUGUAAUUGCAUUGAAAGUAAAUUGUAAUUACACUUUUAGGUGCUGUAACAACAUUUAUUCUACAUU